GACAGAGGGUGCAAACGUUGCUCGGAAUUACUGGGCGUAAAGCGCGUGUAGGCGGGUUUCCAAGUCAGAUGUGAAAUCCCCGGGCUCAACCCGGGAACUGCAUUUGAAACUGGGAGUCUUGAGUAUCGGAGAGGAAAGCGGAAUUCCUGGUGUAGAGGUGAAAUUCGUAGAUAUCAGGAGGGACACCGGUGGCGAAGGCGGCUUUCUGGACGAUAACUGACGCUGAGACGCGAAAGCGUGGGGAGCAAACAGG
This 253-nucleotide ribosomal RNA is filed under the name uncultured bacterium. RNAcentral's name for it is "partial 16S ribosomal RNA". It matches the Rfam family "Bacterial small subunit ribosomal RNA", at positions 524 to 776 of the family's 1533-position model. The record is from RNAcentral.